Equus caballus (horse) is the source of this 713-nucleotide non-coding RNA. The record is from RefSeq and is a predicted model, not a curated record. NCBI's taxonomy places the organism in Eukaryota, Metazoa, Chordata, Mammalia, Perissodactyla, Equidae.
CGGCCGCUGCGGGCCACUCGGGGACAGGCCGUCGCCGUGGCCGCUCUCCGCCCCCGCCACGGCACUUGCUGCGGUGGCCGCCGCCGCAGGAAGCUCGACAGCGGCGCCGCGGCGCUUCCAGGUCCCUUCUCAAAGGUCGGUAUCUUGGCAGACCUCUCUAUCCAAAAGAACACACUUGCACCACCGCUCUUACCCUCUACCUGCUUAUAUUUCUUCGUGACAGUUAUCAUCACUUCCAGAUUUUACUUGUCUGUCCCCUGCCACCAAGAAUCAAGAAUGUGAGAUCCUUAAAGGCAGGGGCUUUGUAACCUUUGCUCAUUGCGGUAGCCCCAGACCUGUGUCUGGCACAAGGCAGUGUUUAAUAAAUACUCUCUUAAAACAUAUCAAUGAACUAGAUUGAGUAUGUGGGAAAAUAAAGCCCAACACACACUGAUGGAGGUAAGUACUUCCUUUGGGUUGAUAGUUCCGUUCACAACCUCACCAUAUGAGCUGUGGAAACAGGGAGCUAAAUCGCCUUCCCUGUCUAUAAUUUGAAGAUUCUCUUCCAAAAAUAUAAAAUCCAGUCGUAGUAGCCAUUUUAACUGGAGCUCUUCUGCGGUUGUCAAAUACUGCUUCAUUGUUUUUGCUUUCCUUGUCUUUGGAACUUUUUUUCAGGCAAAUGGAUAUAUGUGCCUCCUUUAAUUUUGCUAAUAAAAGUUAUUAAAUGGCUGAAA